GGGGAAUCCCAAGUGCUUGCUCGUAAGAGUAAGCUGUUUCUUUGUUUAAAACGCAUUGAGAGUAAGGGCUGGGUAAGACGGGUGCCAGCCGCCGCGGUAAUACCUGCAGCUCGAGUGGUGGCCGCUAUUAUUGGGCCUAAAACGUCCGUAGCCGGCUUAAUAAGUGCCUGGGUAAAUCGUGUAGCUCAACUAUACGAAUUCCGGGUAGACUGUUAAGCUUGAGACCGGGAGAAGUUAGAGGUACUCCUGGGGUAGAGGUGAAAUUCUGUAAUCCUAGGGGGACCACCAGUGGCGAAGGCGUCUGACUAGAACGGGUCUGACGGUGAGGGACGAAGCCCUGGGGCGCAAACCGGAUUAGAUACCCGGGUAGUCCAGGGUGUAAACGCUGCUUGCUUGAUGUUGGUUGGGCUCCGAGCCCAAUCAGUGUCGGAGAGAAGUUGUUAAGCAAGCUGCCUGGGAAGUACGGCCGCAAGACUGAAACUUAAAGGAAUUGGCGGGG
Molecule: ribosomal RNA, 499 nt
Filed under: uncultured archaeon
Lineage: Archaea
Description: bacterial SSU rRNA
Rfam family: Archaeal small subunit ribosomal RNA
Source: RNAcentral